GAUCUAUUCUGAUACUACGUCAUAUACUAAAUGUGGAAUGAUACUGCGAAGAUUAGCAUAGCCCCUGUGCAAGGAUGACAUGUAAAUUCAUAAAAUGUUCCAUAUUAUU
This is a small nuclear RNA of Phodopus roborovskii (desert hamster), 109 nucleotides long. The record is from RefSeq and is a predicted model, not a curated record. NCBI's taxonomy places the organism in Eukaryota, Metazoa, Chordata, Mammalia, Rodentia, Cricetidae.